UCGGACCGAGUUUGACAAAAUUAACAAGAUUUGCUGCCUCUUCUCAGUACUCUCCAUCCCAUUUGUCUCACGAUUUCAAGUCUCUAGUCCUCUCCUCUUCAUUUUUAAUCUGAUUGUCUCCGUCUCUCCAGUCUCCAGUGUCGCACCCCAAAAAAAUAUUGUUUUUCAAUAUUGCAGGUUCGAUUGGCGAAAUUUUUUAUUAUUUUUUUUAUUUGGUUCUUUGGAGUCACCACCUAGUAUUUUGGUCACUAGGAACCUAACUGGUCUCAGAGAUCGGGUACGGAGACUGGUUGCGUAAAGGGAAGGUAUUAGCACCCCAAAUACGCCCUACCUAAGGUAAGCUGCAUUGUUUUAUUGUCUGAUAAAAACAAAACUAAAGUAUUAUUGUGUUUUCCUAGUUGUUGGUCUGUAUAUGGUUCAAGAAAAAUCCCCCUCAGUAAGGAGGUCUUUAUCUUAUCGGGUAAAAAUCCUAACCGUUCUAACGUCCAUACCAAAAUUUUAUUAAUAAUAUUUAGGAAUACGUUUUACGUAUAAAUUCGUAAUCCCAAAUAUUAAAAGAAAACAAAAAGAUUUUUUUUAGAAUUUUUGAAAUAUUGGCCUAGUUCUCAUGGCUUGAAUAAACUGGUUAUUAAAGCCAAAAUGCAUGUUAAUACAUAUAUUGUUUUGAAAAUUUUCUUUGUUGUGUGAAAAUAUGAUGUUAUAAUAUUUAUGUAUAUAUAUUGGAGAGACUAGGCCGUAUUUUAAAACAAAAAAAAACAAUUUUUAGAAAAUAUUUUUUUUAUGCUUUGACGAAAAUCGGGUAUUUUAAUACUGAGCUUGUAUCCUUACGGUAUAAAAAUACAAACCAAAAUUAAACCAUUUUGAUAAAAAUAUGCAGAAAAAUCAACAAUAUUUUUAGGGAAUUUUUAGAAAUUUUUUGAAAGCAAAAACAUUUUUUAUUCUGAAAAUCUUUGAUAUUUUGACGAAAACCGGGUAUUUUUAACACUGGUUUUGUAUCUUUACAGUAUAAAAAUACAAAACCAAAUGUGUAAAACAACAAUAUAUUUAUAUGAAAAGAAAAUAACAACCAAAAUUUUUUUUUAGAUUUUUUUUCAAAGGAAAAAAAAUGUAUAUAUUUAGAUACACAUAUAAUAAUAAUAAUAUAAUAUAAUUAUAAUAUAUUUAUAUAUUAAAAAGGGGCUGGGCCGGCCCAAACCAAACUGGGCCGGACCCAGCCCUAACAGUCGUUGGGCCGACCUCGGCCCAACAGGUACUGGGCCGAACUCGGUCCAGAAGGUACUGGGCCGAACUCGGCCCAGAAGGUACUGGGCCGAACUCGGCCCAGAAACUAAUUAACCUCGGUCUGGGCCGGACCCGGCCCAGACCGCCGGACUGGGCCAGAUCCCUCUGGCCCGUCCACAUAACUCUGGGCCAGACACAAUCUGGCCCAGAGAAAAAAUAAAAAGAAAACACGGGAUUCCCCCCCCGCCUCCUGCAUGCAGAACGAUUCUGCAUGCAGGAGGCAAAACAUAUAUAUAUUAACAGAAAAAAUGCAGGGGGAGGAGAGGAGGCGUACCUGGUGCUGGCGGAGCUGCGGUGGUGGUGGCAGUGUCCUCGCUUCACGGACGGCGGCUUCUCUCUCCUCUGUUACAGGGUUUCUCUCUCUUCCUCUCUCUCUUCUUUUUUUUUCUUUGUUUCGGGGUUCCUCUCUUUCUCCUUUUUUUCGUCCCGUGUUCUCCCUUUCAGUCCUCUAUUUAUAGCACCAUGGGCGGGGCUUUUUCUCGUGGACCCAGGAGCGGGUUGAGGAGCGGCUGUCGGGGAGCGGCGGGCCUCCCUCGGCUUCGGCCACGAGGCGGGUUGUCGGCCAUUGUUUCUGUCGGUGGCCCACCGGCGUAGGGUCUCUGUCGGUUGGUAAGGGGGACCUGCAAAAAAGAAUAAAAAAUACAAAGUUUUUUUUUCUUCCCCGCUGUAACGUUCGGGGGGAAGAAGACAGUGAACAGUGCCGUUCAAAACGGCACCGUUCGGUUUCCCCCUUCUUUUUUUUUUUUUUAAUAAUUAUGCAUGAAACGGCGUCGUUUUGGACAAAACGCGCCGUUUCAUUUAAAAAAAAAACGCCAGAAACUUUGUUUUUAAAUCAGUCCCUAAUUUGUCAUUUGUUCUAUUAAGUCCUUCAAUCGAGUCCUUCAAUCAAGAAUACAAUUCAAUUGCGUCCCUGCCAAAUUCGGUCCCUACCCCUAUAGUUGGCCGCGUUUUUCACUUUGGUCCUUGGCCUCUGAUUUUCACAAUUAAGCCCUUAAUUGAUCAAAAAACUUCCAAUUUCUUCAAUUAAGCCCCUGAAACAAUUCCAAACAGCCCCCUCUAUCUUUGCGCCUUCUCCAAAAUGGUCCCUGGUUUCGGAUUUUCACAAUUAAGUCCCUAAUUGGCCAUUAAACUUCAAUAUUUAUGCAAUUAAGCCCCUGAUUUGACCCAAUAAAUUCCUAAAAAAUAUAUUUUGGCCCCAGAACUUUAAUUUCUCCAAAUUAAAGCCCAAAUUGACUUAAAAAUCAAUUUUUCUUGGAAUCAAAUCUUCUAUAAAUUCACCAUAAAAAUCCAAUUAAGUCCAUAAAAAUCCAUAAAAAUCCAAUUAAGUCCAUAAAAAUCCAAUUAAGCCCAUAAAAAUCCAAAUUUGGGCUUUUCUCCCUAAAAUUCAAAUUUUUCUUCUCAAUAGGGCUUUCAUCCUUCAAGAAUAUACUGUCAAAAAUUCAAUCCUUGUAUUUUUAAAUUCCUUGACCAAUUUUCUGACUGUUUUCCGGGCGCUUCUGCCUCCGGUUAUUUUUCUAAUCCUCUUUUGGCUAUUUAUUUUAUUUUUCAGGGGGACCCAAAAAUGGGUUGUAGGGUCAAUUGAUGUUGAACUAGCCAUAGUCACUUUCAACACCCUCUUUUUGCUACCAAUCUCCAUGGUAUUCACUCCUCCCCUACCAUCGACAUGUUUAGGUAAAGGGUUUGAAUUCUGAUUAGGUGAAUCCUCAAAAGUGACCCAUCCCACUUUGAUCAGUUGCAACACCUUUCUUUUAAAAGCAAAGCAAGACUCAAUGCUAUGGCCUGCGUGACCAGCAUGGUAUUCACAAGUCACCUCGGGGUUGUACCAGGCAGGGAAAGGUGGCUGCAUAGGUGGUAUGGGUAGGGGAGCUAUCUGCCCAAUACUCAACAGCUUGGCAUACAACUCUUUUAAGGUUAUUGGUAGAGGAGGUAGUUGUUCUUCUGACGGUUGCUUAUCCUUUCUUUGGUAAUUGUGGUGGUUAUUUGCUGGGAAUUUGGGCUGGUUUGGAGUGGGGGGUUUGGAAAAGUUAAUACUAGUGACUCGGGGGUAGGUAUUUGAUAGUUUUUGCUUCUCCUUUCUAGGUUGUUCACCUCAAUUUCUUUCUUCUUUCCAAUGAAACCUCUCUUCUCUAGAGGUUCUGCAAUUCUCCACCGGAUCCCUUGUUCAAUCCUCUCGGCGAUCCGCACGACAUCAUAGAAAUGUUGUGCUGAACUACCCAUAAGGUGUUCAUAGUAUGGAGCCCUGAAAGUAUUGGCAAACAAAGUCACCAUUUCUGUCUCUAUCAGCGGAGGUUGCACAUUGAUAGCUUGGUCUCGCCACCUUUGAGCAUAAGCCCUCACGGACUCUUGACUUCCUUUCUCCAUGCUGAUCAGACUGGUCCUAUCAGGAGCAAUCUCUAGUUAAACUUGUAUUGCUUAAGAAAGCGUCGCCAAGUCUGUCCACUUCCUGAUCCUAAUAUUGUCUAACCUCAUAUACCAACUGAGGGCCGAUCCGGUCAGGCUAUCCUGGAAGAAGUAAAUUAACAUUUUGUCGUCGUGGAUAACCUCUGCCAUUUUGUUAUAGUAGGAGCGGAGAUGGGUCUUCGGGCAUUCCAUCCCAGUAUACUUAACAAACUCCGGCACUCUGAACUUCUUUGGAAUGACAAUAUUAGGUACUAAACAUACCUCAGCGGCCCUAAUUGGGUCAAACAAAUCAUUUCCUUCAAUUGCCCUUAGCCUCUCUUCUAGGGCAGUCCACUUAUCAUCUCCUUCAUGAUUAGAGAAUUUAAAGUCAUGUGGAUCUUCGUUUGUUAAAUCCAUUGUAAUAGGGAUUUGGAUGGGCCGAGCAGGACUCUGCUUAGUUGGUGUAUUUGCCCCUAUGUUUAUAGGUGCGACAGGGAUUUGAGCUGCUGCUGGUGCUUCAUUAGGUUGAGUAGAUGUUCCUUCUCCAUCUUUGGCUCUCAAUAUCUGCUCUAACAUACGAGUUAGGUUCGCCACAUCAUUCCGAACUCCUUCAAGUUCUCUUUGGUACUGAGAUUCGGGUUGUGACCUUCCUUCGUUUUCCAUUCUUGCUCUUUGCCGAGUGUAGUGGACUUUGGAAGGGGGACCUAUGUUUCACGAUCUGGAAUGCAUAUGAUAAAUUAAAAAUAUGUGAUGAGAAUGUGAUGCAUAUGUAAUGUGUAUAUAUGCAUAUUUUAUGAGCUGAUUCAUGACUUUCGUAACCUUUAAGCAAGAUUUCUGAGUUGACCCGAUUACCAUAAAGGAGGGUUUGCCAAGUUCUUAUCAUAGUGGCUUACCAAACCCAUUAAGAAAGGAAAUACGUCAUGGACUUCUUAUAAAUAACAAACUUGCUCAUACAAAACAAUAAUGGGAAAGAGAGUCCUAUACAUUGCUACCUCUAAAAAGCAUUUCCUCUAUUAGCUAAAUCCCCAAUAAAACAGGCCAUUGCCCCCAUGUAUUCUCGAUACUUUGAAGCAUCAUUUCCGACUUGGGUGGCUUGUUGUUGCAACCUUUCUGCAUAACGGGCUACUUGCUCAACCUGUUUUUCCAUGUGUCUUAUUCUGGCAUGGAAUACGGUGUUAUCUUCGAUUAUUGCUUCGUUGCUGGCUCCUAAGGCUUCGUUGCUUCUUUCCAAUACUCGCACCAUACCCUCUGAUUGUGCCAACUUAUCUCUUGUUCUUUGUAGCUCUUCCUUUUCAAUAUCCAGCUCUGCUAUUUUGGAAUUGAUUUGAACUGCAAAGCUGUCCAUGUAGUCUUGGCAUUCUUGACGCUCUUGCUUAGCCUUACUCAUCUCUUCUUCCAUCUCGAAGUAGUGGCUUCUCAACUCCCUUAACUCUUCUUCUCGUACCUCGAUCUCCGCUUGUAAAGCCCUCAUCCUUCCUUUUGAAGACUCAGCUCUCUUCUGGUAAUCUCUCAUGUCAGACUCAGCGGCCAUUCUUGCAUUUCUUUCUUCCUCUAGUUGCACCAUGUAUUGAGCUCUAACCUUCCUUUCUUCUUCUAUGUCGAGGUUGGCUAGACGAUUCUUCUCCUUUUCAACUUCUAUUUUCUUUAAAAGAAGUUUCCUUCCCUUCUUCAAAGAAUCCAUUGUCUCCUUAUCAACAUUCACGCCUUUUGUUGCCCUCUUAACCUUAGCCAAUUCUUUUUCUGCUAUCCCAUUCUUCUUGACCAACUCAUCAUAAUCAGCUAUUCGAUUCCUUAACUCAGCCUGGACCCCCGUUGUUAUGUCUUCAGCUACCUCAGCCCUUUUCUGCCAUUCCUUUAGAGACAUUAGCUGCUUCUCUUGUUUUUCUAACCGCUGAUUCAAGAAAACCCUCAUCGUAUUUUCCUCCUCUAGCUGGUUCUCUAACAAUUGUUGUCGCCCCUUACUUUUGCUGAGUUCUAUUACACACUGAUCUAGCUGCUUUCUUAGAUCUUCCUCAUCAUCCUUUCUUUUCCUUUUCUGUGUUUCUAUCGCUGCCUCUGACUGUUCUUGUGUAGAGAGACCCUUUACUUCAGAAAAAUCCUCAUUCCUCCAAACUGUAUAAUUAUGGCUGAAUGAGGUUUCAAAACUGCUUCCUUCUUCUCUUUUCACCUUCACGGGUCUUUCCCAAUCCUGUCGGAUAAGCUCCAUUUCUUUGAUGAACGGUUGGUGCUUGAAUAACCCAAUGAAAUCAGCUAAACCCAAGGUUCUUGGCGUAUAUUGCAUUCCGCCUAACUGCCUUGUUACGAGGGCGGGCGCAUAGCUGAUGUAACCAGUUACACCAAUUAAAGGAACCCAUAUCUUGCUUCCGCAGCUCAUUGUGCAAAUAGCGUUGUUCAUCCACGGUGCUUUCCAUUUGAAGUUGCUACUUGGCAAUGCUGCAUACUUAUCCCUCCAUGCCUUCUCAUCCCAAUUCUUCCAAGUCUCAUCUAUGGUAAUCUUUAACGGUCGCAAGUCAAACCACCAAAAGUUGUUGAAGAUGUCUCUUGGUGCUUCGAUAUGACUGAUUAUCCAUAGGUACAACAUAGGGACGCAGCACCUCAUAGCUCCUUUUCCAUGUGUUCGGCAGUGAUUAAGAGAUAACAUGGUUUCCCCCAAGAUGGCUGAGGAAGGAUUGAUCCGGUCAUGCUCAUAUUCGAUGAAGACACUCGCUGCUUCUAAACUGAUGACCCCAAUUUCAGAAGGGAACAACACUAGCCCAAAAAUGGCGAAGGCCACCAACCUAUAUCGUUCGUCUCCCAACUUGCCUUCUUCGGCAUUUUUCUUCAUUCGAGCUUCAAUGAUCUUCCAUUUAAAACCCCCUUCAGCAACUCUACACUGGCUGAUCUUUCCUAAGCCUAAUAAACUGACUACUUCCGAAGCUGUAUCUUCAAAUCUGCGUCGGCGGUAGAUUCGGCAGUUGUCAUUUGGAAAAUCCAGGAUUCUCUCAUAUUCUUCCAAGGUGGGUGUCAUAUCGAUGUUUCCAAAGGUAAAGCAACGAUAACUGGGAUCCCAAAAAUUCAGAAGGGCUUUGAUCGCCGCUGCUUGUACAGGCAACUUCAUUAUAUGUGCAAUCCUCCCAUAUCGCCUUUCAAACAGGGUCUCGUCAACAUAUUCCAUGAUAGGCAAUAACUUUCCUAAAUCGUUUACCAUGUGAUUUACCUUGGUAAUGCAUGGUAACCCACUAGCAUCGAUUCUUGGGCAUUUUCCUUCGGCGAUCUGAGCCAACUCAGACUCUUGUCCAUAUUCUUGGAAAGAGAGGUACGUAGUCAUGAUUUCAGCUCAAAACCUAGGUUAAUGAAUUUAACAAUUAAUCGUGAUGCAAAUGAAAAUAAGAUUCAUAACCUAAAGACAAGCUCUAUUUAUUAAGUGAGAGAGGGUAGUUUUUCUAUCUGGUCUCGAAGGGUCUCAUAUCUGCCCAGUGACAUUCUUCGUAAAGAAGUAUGGGGGCGUUGCAAGGAACAAUUAAGACACGUAUGCCCACCAUUACCAAGCAGGCACUCAGAUAUGAGUUGGGUGUUUCACGCAUUUAAGCCCUGACCAAUAGUCUUAGGGUAAAUCGCUAAUUCCCCACUUAACUUAAAGCUUGUGUGUGCUUUUCAAAAUUAAGGCAAGUGAUGCAUGAAACAAUUGUAUACAAUGCAUGAAUAAUAUAUGUCAAAUAAAAAAUAAAUACGCAAAUAAAAGGAAAGGCAAUAAACAAAAAAAAAAACCAACAAAUCAGACAAAAACAAAGCUUAGUCUACAACGUCCCCAGUGGAGUCGCCAUUCUGUCGCACCCCAAAAAAAUAUUGUUUUUCAAUAUUGCGGGUUCGACUGGCGAAAUUUUUUAUUUUUUUUUAUUUGGUUCUUUGGAGUCGCCACCUAGUAUUUUGGUCACUAGGAACCUAACUGGUCUCAGAGAUCGGGUACGGAGACUGGUUGCGUAAAGGGAAGGUAUUAGCACCCCAAAUACGCCCUACCUAAGGUAAGCUGCAUUGUUUUAUUGUCUGAUAAAAAAAAACUAAAGUGUUAUUGUGUUUUCCUAGUUGUUGGUCUGUCUAUGGUUCAAGAAAAAUCCCCUCAGUAAGGAGGUCUUUAUCUUAUCGGGUAAAAUCCUAACCGUUCUAACGUCAUACCAAAAUUUUAUUAAUAAUAUUUAGGAAUACGUUUUACGUAUAAAUUCGUAAUCCCAAAUACUAAAAGAAAACAAAAAGAUUUUUUAGAAUUUUUGAAAUAUUGGCCUAGUUCUCAUGGCUUGAAUAAACUGGUUAUUAAAGCCAAAAUGCAUGUUAAUACAUAUAUUGUUUUGAAAAUUUUCUUUGUUGUGUGAAAAUAUGAUGUUAUAUUUAUGUAUAUAUAUUGGAGAGACUAGGCCGUAUUUUAAAACAAAAAAACAAUUUUUGGAAAAUAUUUUUUUUUAUGCUUUGACGAAAAUCGGGUAUUUUAAUACUGAGCUUGUAUCCUUACGGUAUAAAAAUACAACCCAAUAUUAACCAUUUUGAUAAAAAUAUGCAGAAAAAUCAACAUUUUUUAGGGAUUUUUAGAAAUUUUUUGAAAGCAAAAACAUUUUUUAUUCUGAAAAUCUUUGAUAUUUUGACGAAAACCGGGUAUUUUUAACACUGGUUUUGUAUCUUUACAGUAUAAAAAUACAAACCAAAUGUUAAAACAACAAUAUUUAUAUGAAAAGAAAAUAACAACAAAAUUUUUUUUUAGAUUUUUUUUAAAAAAAUGUAUUAUAUUAUUUAACAUAUAAUAAUAAUAAUAUAAUAUAAUUAUAUAUUUAUAUAUUAAAAGGGCUGGGCCGGCCCAAACAAACUGGGCCGGACCCAGCCCUAACAGUCGUUGGGCCGACCUCGGCCCAACAGGUACUGGGCCGAACUCGGCCCAGAAGGUACUGGGCCGAACUCGGCCCAGAAACUAAUUAACCUCGGUCUGGGCCGGACCCGGCCCAGACCGCCGGACUGGGCCAGAUCCCUCUGGCCCGUCCACAUAACUCUGGGCCAGAGAAAAAAUAAAAAGAAAACACGGAUUCCCCCCCCCGCCUCCUGCAUGCAGAACGAUUCUGCAUGCAGGAGGCAAAACAUAUAUAUAUUAACAGAAAAAAUGCAGGGGGAGGAGAGGAGGCGUACCUGGUGCUGGCGGAGCUGCGGUGGUGGUGGCAGUGUCCUCGCUUCACGGACGGCGGUUUCUCUCUCCUCUGUUACAGGGUUUCUCUCUCUUCCUCUCUCUCUUCGUUUUUUUUUUCUUUGUUUCGGGGUUCCUCUCUUUCUCCCUUUUUUUCGUCCCGUGUUCUCCCUUUCAGUCCUCUAUUUAUAGCACCAUGGGCGGGGCUUUUUUCUCGUGGACCCAGGAGCGGGUUGAGGAGCGGCUGUCGGGGAGCGGCGGGCCUCCCUCGGCUUCGGCCACGAGGCGGGUUGUCGGCCAUUGUUUCUGUCGGUGGCCCACCGGCGUAGGGUCUCUGUCGAUUGGUAAGGGGGACCUGCAAAAAAGAAUAAAAAAUACAAAGUUUUUUUUUUUUUUCCUUCCCCGCUGACGUUCGGGGGGAAGAAGACAGUGAACAGUGCCGUUCAAAACGGCACCGUUCGGUUUCCCCCUUUUUUUUUUUUUUUUUAAUAAUUAUGCAUGAAACGGCGUCGUUUUGGACAAAACGCGCCGUUUCAUUUAAAAAAAAAAAGCCAGAAACUUUGUUUUUAAAUCAGUCCCUAAUUUGUCAUUUGUUCUAUUAAGUCCUUCAAUCGAGUCCUUCAAUCAAGAAUACAAUUCAAUUGCGUCCCUGCCAAAUUCGGUCCCUACCCUAUAGUUGGCCGCGUUUUUCACUUUGGUCCUUGGCCUCUGAUUUUCACAAUUAAGCCCUUAAUUGAUCAAAAAACUUCCAAUUUCUUCAAUUAAGCCCCUGAAACAAUUCCAAACCCCCCUGCGCCUUCUCCAAAUUGGUCCCUGGUUUCGGAUUUUCACAAUUAAGUCCCUAAUUGGCCAUUAAACUUCAAUAUUUAUGCAAUUAAGCCCCUGAUUUGACCCAAUAAAUUCCUAAAAAAUAUAUUUUGGCCCCAGAACUUAAAUUUCUCCAAAUUAAAGCCCAAAUUGACUUAAAAAUCAAUUUUUCUUGGAAUCAAAUCUUCUAUAAAUUCAAAAUAAAAAUCCAAUUAAGUCCAUAAAAAUCCAAUUAAGCCCAUAAAAAUCCAAAUUUGGGCUUUUCUCCCUAAAAUUCAAAUUUUUCUUCUCAAUAGGGCUUUCAUCCUUCAAGAAUAUACUGUCAAAAAUUCAAUCCUUGUAUUUUUAAAUUCCUUGACCAAUUUUCUAACUGUUUUCCGGGCGCUUCUGCCUCCGGUUAUUUUUCUAAUCCUCUUUUGGUUAUUUAUUUUAUUUUUCAGGGGGACCCAAAAAUGGGUUACAACAUCCAGUAUACAAAACACCCAUGUUCAUGGGCACCCACCAACCACCAGUGAAGUGCAACAAUCACUAGAGAAGAAUAGAUUUGAGAUAGGCUGAGGGGCUGAGUUGCUAGGAGGAGCUUUAAUUUUUUAGGGUUUUCUUUUUUUCUCGGUGAUAACUGAGAUUAUCGAAAAAAAACUUGAACCAGAUGUAGAAUAGGAAUACACAGUUCACAAAGAAGGAAGCUAAAGAAAUGUUUAUCUCAGGGCUAACGGGAAAAUCCCGAACACCGUCUUUAAUAGCUACUGAUUCGAGAACAAGAACCAUGGCAUUCGAUGCAGCCUACUCCCGCCUUUGUCCUAAGAGCUGAGCCAAUAGCAGGGCAUUCAAUAGCAGCAGUAGCCUAGGUAAUGGUUGGUGGUAAAUGGUGGUCUUGAGUCUUGACUUUUCUAGAUCUUUGAUUUUAUUUUUAUUUUUGAAUAGGUGUGGACCGUGUGGUUGUUGGAACAAUAAUAUUUAAGGGCAUGUUUGGUUGGCGUG
Molecule: long non-coding RNA, 10588 nt
Filed under: Populus tremula
Lineage: Eukaryota; Viridiplantae; Streptophyta; Magnoliopsida; Malpighiales; Salicaceae
Description: long non-coding RNA (PTRE_LNC000539)
Source: RNAcentral